CUGGAGGCCGCCGUCCAGCCUGCCCCAGGGCUGCUGCGCUCGCGGGUUUCCGGCCGCUCCUCCAGCUCCUCGCCGGGUCUGGUCGCCCCUUCGCCUGGGCAAAGGUUCUGGAGGAUCUACCUACUCUGAAAUCACUACCCCACAAGAGCAAUGGUCUCAGGGGAGAGAGUCUGUCAGCCUGGAGGAGUGAGUGCACCCAGAUACCAGGUGAAUCCUCACUCUUGCUGAGCCAAAGAGACUGAGGCACAAAAGCACCAGGGCCAGCAAUAAAGGGAAAAGAUGCAACAAAAAAAUAACCUAAGAGGAGAAAAGGAAGCAAGGAGGAAGCAAUUUUGGUAUUACCAACUAUAUACUUCACAUCAACACACUAAAAAAUUACAGAGCAUCGUGUCUGUUCAGGAUACUGUUCUUUUAACUGGUGAGCUCCUCUUCUACCAUUCCCCUUACAGGUAUUCCUGAGACAUAGUUCUGUUGGAGCACAGACAAUGGCAAAGAAAGACCAUGGAAUUAGUGACCCAAAUGCUCUGCUUUGGUUUUUAUAUAGGGAUUUAGAUCUAAGUGCUUCUGAUAUUUCAUCAUUUCUCUUAACGAGUAAUUCAGGCCUAUUUCUUCCUAAAGCAGAAGAUAUGGAAUAUUCAGAUAAACAAAUGGAUAGAUAUUCCUUCUAAGUAUUUAAUGGAUCGGUCUUUGUCAGGACGAGUAAGAUAGAGUAGCUACUAUAAAGAUGGCUACUUAAGAUGCAUAAAACUACUUUAAUCCUUUAUGUGUGCUCAUUUCUUAUAUAUUUUCAACUUGUACCUGACAAACUGUCUUAAAGCACUGCCCCAAUUCAGGGUGCUUCGAACUGCUUCAGUUCUAUACGUUCAGUGAUGGGUACCCAGUUAUGGGUACAGAAGCUUCCUAAUCACUAAUUGUCCAGGGCUCUACCCUCCUCUUUUUGGGAUUAUGGGUGUUUUAAGGGCUUGGAGUAGAUAUGGAGGGAAUGUCCAUGUACAAGCAUUAGUUGGGGCCAAUCAGGGCCCUCUGGCACAGAUAGGGGUCAUUGGUGAGAUGGCCUUUAAGACCUCCAUUAAUGCCUUUUGUGGUUAGGAUGACUAUACAUCCUAGUUUACCUAAGAUAUUCUAGUUUAUGCUAUUGUCCCUAUUGUUCUAAUGGAAUUGGUGCCCUUUUCACUCUCAAGUGUCCCAGUUUGGGCAAUAAAUUAUAUGGUAACCCUG
Leopardus geoffroyi (Geoffroy's cat) is the source of this 1218-nucleotide long non-coding RNA. RefSeq lists it as uncharacterized. The transcript has 4 exons. The record is from RefSeq and is a predicted model, not a curated record. NCBI's taxonomy places the organism in Eukaryota, Metazoa, Chordata, Mammalia, Carnivora, Felidae.